Ostrea edulis (European flat oyster) is the source of this 778-nucleotide long non-coding RNA. RefSeq lists it as uncharacterized. The record is from RefSeq and is a predicted model, not a curated record. The transcript is spliced from 2 exons. Lineage: Eukaryota; Metazoa; Mollusca; Bivalvia; Ostreida; Ostreidae.
GUUCGAGCAUGCAUUUCCACUAAUUACAAUUUAAAAAAGGGGGACUGUCUAUAAAUGAAACUUUACAUGUAAAAAUUGGACUUUGCAUGUGAAUAUAACGGAUUCUGCAUGUGAAAAUGAGAGGAUACGCACACUGUAAAAAAAAAAGUGAUAUUCUCCCAUGGGGUCAAGAUUCCCAGUCUAGGGGCCAUGACUUUCAUAACCUCCUUGCUCAUUAUCACUACUCACGUAGCUCUUAAAUGUGAUUGGUAUUCAGGAACAAAGAUUUCUACAGUUUCAAUAAGACGGUUUCAAGAUUAGAGCUGAGUGUAGCAGCCAAUAUCUACAUUUAAAUUUUUGCGCCAAUUUGUACACGUUAUCCGCGCGCUACGUCAUAGUUUUUAGGGCACAUAUAUUUUUUUGUGUAUGCACGAGCUCGCUGCGAAGAAUGUGAGUAUUAUGUACCUGUUUCACUGGACAUUGUACUGAACUGCCGUUUCUUAGAGAAACUACUUAUUCGUAUAUCGUAUGAAGUUGAGGAAGUCACAUGAUGCCAAUCAUUGACUUAAGAAUAAAUUUUCCAGGCAUACGCAUAGACGAUUUGUUUCUAUUCAUUAUGGACGGUGGCCAGUACACUGAGACUCCUGUGUAGGAGGUGCAUUUAGUGGAACUUUAAUUGAGUGCUUAAGUGGGACAGAGUGGACCAACAUGCAGUUACUGAGAAAGAUGAUAAACGUAUCAAAAUCGACUUCUCUUUAAAUAUUUAAUGUAGGAAAUAAACAAUUACCAUCAAAAGAAA